GCAGCGGGUGCAGUUGCGGUUGC
Molecule: non-coding RNA, 23 nt
Filed under: Arabidopsis thaliana (thale cress)
Lineage: Eukaryota; Viridiplantae; Streptophyta; Magnoliopsida; Brassicales; Brassicaceae
Source: RNAcentral